RNAcentral lists this ribosomal RNA (180 nucleotides) under uncultured bacterium. RNAcentral's name for it is "partial 16S ribosomal RNA". It matches the Rfam family "Bacterial small subunit ribosomal RNA", at positions 338 to 515 of the family's 1533-position model. The record is from RNAcentral.
CCUACGGGAGGCAGCAGUGAGGAAUAUUGGUCAAUGGACGAGAGUCUGAACCAGCCAAGUAGCGUGCAGGAUGACGGCCCUAUGGGUUGUAAACUGCUUUUAUAAGGGAAUAAAGUGAGUCUCGUGAGGCUUUUUGCAUGUACCUUAUGAAUAAGGACCGGCUAAUUCCGUGCCAGCAGC